AUACGUAGGGGGCAAGCGUUAUCCGGAUUUACUGGGUGUAAAGGGAGCGUAGACGGCGAUGCAAGUCUGAAGUGAAAACCCGGGGCUCAACCCCGCGGACUGCUUUGGAAACUGUGUUGCUGGAGUGCAGGAGAGGUGAGUGGAAUUCCUAGUGUAGCGGUGAAAUGCUUAGAUAUUAGGAGGAACACCAGUGGCGAAGGCGGCUCACGGGACUGUAACGGACGUUGAGCCUCGAAAGCGUGGGGAGCAAACAGGAUUAGAUCCCCUGGUAGUCCACGCCGUAAACGAUGAAUGCUAGGUGUCGGGGGGCAAAGCCCUUCGGUGCCGCCGCUAACGCAUUAAGCAUUCCACCUGGGGAGUACGUUCGCAAGAAUGAAACUCAAAUGAAUUGACGGGG
RNAcentral lists this ribosomal RNA (397 nucleotides) under uncultured bacterium. RNAcentral's name for it is "partial 16S ribosomal RNA". It matches the Rfam family "Bacterial small subunit ribosomal RNA", at positions 523 to 918 of the family's 1533-position model. The record is from RNAcentral.